UUAAGUUAUUAAGGGCGCACGGUGGAUGCCUUGGCACUAGAAGCCGAUGAAGGACGUUACUAACGACGAUAUGCUUUGGGGAGCUGUAAGUAAGCUUUGAUCCAGAGAUUUCCGAAUGGGGAAACCCAACAUGAGUUAUGUCAUGUUAUCGAUAUGUGAAUACAUAGCAUAUCAGAAGGCACACCCGGAGAACUGAAACAUCUUAGUACCCGGAGGAAGAGAAAGAAAAUUCGAUUCCCUUAGUAGCGGCGAGCGAAACGGGAAGAGCCCAAACCAACAAGCUUGCUUGUUGGGGUUGUAGGACACUCUAUACGGAGUUACAAAGGACGACAUUAGACGAAUCAUCUGGAAAGAUGAAUCAAAGAAGGUAAUAAUCCUGUAGUCGAAAAUGUUGUCUCUCUUGAGUGGAUCCUGAGUACGACGGAGCACGUGAAAUUCCGUCGGAAUCUGGGAGGACCAUCUCCUAAGGCUAAAUACUCUCUAGUGACCGAUAGUGAACCAGUACCGUGAGGGAAAGGUGAAAAGCACCCCGGAAGGGGAGUGAAAUAGAACCUGAAACCGUGUGCUUACAAGUAGUCAGAGCCCGUUAAUGGGUGAUGGCGUGCCUUUUGUAGAAUGAACCGGCGAGUUACGAUUUGAUGCAAGGUUAAGCAGUAAAUGUGGAGCCGUAGCGAAAGCGAGUCUGAAUAGGGCGUUUAGUAUUUGGUCGUAGACCCGAAACCAGGUGAUCUACCCUUGGUCAGGUUGAAGUUCAGGUAACACUGAAUGGAGGACCGAACCGACUUACGUUGAAAAGUGAGCGGAUGAACUGAGGGUAGCGGAGAAAUUCCAAUCGAACCUGGAGAUAGCUGGUUCUCUCCGAAAUAGCUUUAGGGCUAGCCUCAAGUGAUGAUUAUUGGAGGUAGAGCACUGUUUGGACGAGGGGCCCCUCUCGGGUUACCGAAUUCAGACAAACUCCGAAUGCCAAUUAAUUUAACUUGGGAGUCAGAACAUGGGUGAUAAGGUCCGUGUUCGAAAGGGAAACAGCCCAGACCACCAGCUAAGGUCCCAAAAUAUAUGUUAAGUGGAAAAGGAUGUGGCGUUGCCCAGACAACUAGGAUGUUGGCUUAGAAGCAGCCAUCAUUUAAAGAGUGCGUAAUAGCUCACUAGUCGAGUGACACUGCGCCGAAAAUGUACCGGGGCUAAACAUAUUACCGAAGCUGUGGAUUGUACUUUGGACAAUGGUAGGAGAGCGUUCUAAGGGCGUUGAAGCAUGAUCGUAAGGACAUGUGGAGCGCUUAGAAGUGAGAAUGCCGGUGUGAGUAGCGAAAGACGGGUGAGAAUCCCGUCUACCGAUUGACUAAGGUUUCCAGAGGAAGGCUCGUCCGCUCUGGGUUAGUCGGGUCCUAAGCUGAGGCCGACAGGCGUAGGCGAUGGAUAACAGGUUGAUAUUCCUGUACCACCUAUAAUCGUUUUAAUCGAUGGGGGGACGCAGUAGGAUAGGCGAAGCGUGCGAUUGGAUUGCACGUCUAAGCAGUAAGGCUGAGUAUUAGGCAAAUCCGGUACUCAUUAAGGCUGAGCUGUGAUGGGGAGAAGACAUUGUGUCUUCGAGUCGUUGAUUUCACACUGCCGAGAAAAGCCUCUAGAUAGAAAAUAGGUGCCCGUACCGCAAACCGACACAGGUAGUCAAGAUGAGAAUUCUAAGGUGAGCGAGCGAACUCUCGUUAAGGAACUCGGCAAAAUGACCCCGUAACUUCGGGAGAAGGGGUGCUCUUUAGGGUUAACGCCCAGAAGAGCCGCAGUGAAUAGGCCCAAGCGACUGUUUAUCAAAAACACAGGUCUCUGCUAAACCGUAAGGUGAUGUAUAGGGGCUGACGCCUGCCCGGUGCUGGAAGGUUAAGAGGAGUGGUUAGCUUCUGCGAAGCUACGAAUCGAAGCCCCAGUAAACGGCGGCCGUAACUAUAACGGUCCUAAGGUAGCGAAAUUCCUUGUCGGGUAAGUUCCGACCCGCACGAAAGGCGUAACGAUUUGGGCACUGUCUCAACGAGAGACUCGGUGAAAUCAUAGUACCUGUGAAGAUGCAGGUUACCCGCGACAGGACGGAAAGACCCCGUGGAGCUUUACUGUAGCCUGAUAUUGAAAUUCGGCACAGCUUGUACAGGAUAGGUAGGAGCCUUUGAAACGUGAGCGCUAGCUUACGUGGAGGCGCUGGUGGGAUACUACCCUAGCUGUGUUGGCUUUCUAACCCGCACCACUUAUCGUGGUGGGAGACAGUGUCAGGCGGGCAGUUUGACUGGGGCGGUCGCCUCCUAAAAGGUAACGGAGGCGCUCAAAGGUUCCCUCAGAAUGGUUGGAAAUCAUUCAUAGAGUGUAAAGGCAUAAGGGAGCUUGACUGCGAGACCUACAAGUCGAGCAGGGUCGAAAGACGGACUUAGUGAUCCGGUGGUUCCGCAUGGAAGGGCCAUCGCUCAACGGAUAAAAGCUACCCCGGGGAUAACAGGCUUAUCUCCCCCAAGAGUUCACAUCGACGGGGAGGUUUGGCACCUCGAUGUCGGCUCAUCGCAUCCUGGGGCUGUAGUCGGUCCCAAGGGUUGGGCUGUUCGCCCAUUAAAGCGGUACGCGAGCUGGGUUCAGAACGUCGUGAGACAGUUCGGUCCCUAUCCGUCGUGGGCGUAGGAAAUUUGAGAGGAGCUGUCCUUAGUACGAGAGGACCGGGAUGGACAUACCUCUGGUGUACCAGUUGUCGUGCCAACGGCAUAGCUGGGUAGCUAUGUGUGGACGGGAUAAGUGCUGAAAGCAUCUAAGCAUGAAGCCCCCCUCAAGAUGAGAUUUCCCAACUUCGGUUAUAAGAUCCCUCAAAGAUGAUGAGGUUAAUAGGUUCGAGGUGGAAGCAUGGUGACAUGUGGAGCUGACGAAUACUAAUCGAUCGAAGACUUAAUCAA
Molecule: ribosomal RNA, 2921 nt
Filed under: Staphylococcus argenteus
Lineage: Bacteria; Bacillati; Bacillota; Bacilli; Caryophanales; Staphylococcaceae
Description: bacterial LSU rRNA
Rfam family: Bacterial large subunit ribosomal RNA
Source: RNAcentral